RNAcentral lists this ribosomal RNA (372 nucleotides) under Triticum aestivum (bread wheat). RNAcentral describes it as "partial small subunit ribosomal RNA". Lineage: Eukaryota; Viridiplantae; Streptophyta; Magnoliopsida; Poales; Poaceae. The record is from RNAcentral.
AUGCGGCAUCCGCAGCUGGAUGCAUCGGCCAUGGCUUCCUCGAGCUCAUGGAGACAGACCUGUACCUCAAGGUCAGCGGCGAGGGUGUCUUCUCAGGACUCCCUGGGCGCCUUGCCUCUUCUGCAAGCACUGCAACACAAGGAGGGUCUCAGGGCUGUUCCACCAUCGGCCACGGUAACUGCUGGGCGUGCGGCCGUGCAUGCCGACCAGGAGGCGGCGGUGUCAGCGCAUCAGUGUUGGAGCAGGAGUUGGCGAAGGGAGUGGGGAUUCUGGGGAGGGUGGAGCCAAUCGACCAGUCGAAGGAAGGAAGCGAGUCCGGUCGCCGGCGGCUGGUAUGAGGAAAACCAGAGCCGGGGUCGGGGUGAGCCAUGA